UGUAUGAUGAAGAAUGUAGUGAAAUGUGAUAACUAAUGUGAAUUGUAGAAUUCAGUGAAUUAUCGAGUCUUUGAAUGCACCUUGUGCCUUUUGGUAUUUCGAAGGGCAUGCUUGUUUGAGUGUCAGUAAAUUCUCAACCCUUCUCACUUUGUUGUGACGAGGUGGAUUGGAUGUGGAGGUUGUUGGACGCUUUAUUGUGAUCAGCUCUUCUGAAAUGUAUUAGCAGUAGUACCAUUACUUGGCUUGCUAAGCUUGUGAUAAUAUUCUAGCUUGCUUGUGGGUAGAGUUUGGGUUUGAAGGGUUGCUUUAACGAGCUCUCUUUGCCUUCUUUCUUUCGAGAGAGAUAACUAUGCGACUCUACUUAGAUGGCUUCAGCUUCUAACCGUCUGUAACAAGACAAUACAACUGACUAUUUGACCUCAAAUCAGGUAGGACCCC
RNAcentral lists this ribosomal RNA (438 nucleotides) under Strobilurus tenacellus. Its description in RNAcentral is "partial ribosomal RNA". The stretch from base 6 to 125 matches the Rfam family "5.8S ribosomal RNA", at positions 35 to 154 of the family's 154-position model. The record is from RNAcentral. Lineage: Eukaryota; Fungi; Basidiomycota; Agaricomycetes; Agaricales; Physalacriaceae.